AACGAACGCUGGCGGCAGGCCUAACACAUGCAAGUCGAGCGGACCCUUCGGGGUUAGCGGCGGACGGGUGAGUAACGCGUGGGAAUAUGCCCUUCUCUACGGAAUAGUCCUGGGAAACUGGGGGUAAUACCGUAUACGCCCUUUGGGGGAAAGAUUUAUCGGGGAAGGAUUAGCCCGCGUUGGAUUAGGUAGUUGGUGGGGUAAUGGCCUACCAAGCCGACGAUCCAUAGCUGGUUUGAGAGGAUGAUCAGCCACACUGGGACUGAGACACGGCCCAGACUCCUACGGGAGGCAGCAGUGGGGAAUCUUAGACAAUGGGGGCAACCCUGAUCUAGCCAUGCCGCGUGAGUGAUGAAGGCCUUAGGGUUGUAAAGCUCUUUCAGCUGGGAAGAUAAUGACGGUACCAGCAGAAGAAACCCCGGCGAACUCCGU
This 432-nucleotide ribosomal RNA is filed under the name uncultured bacterium. RNAcentral's name for it is "partial 16S ribosomal RNA". It matches the Rfam family "Bacterial small subunit ribosomal RNA", at positions 29 to 506 of the family's 1533-position model. The record is from RNAcentral.